This 388-nucleotide ribosomal RNA is filed under the name Gephyrocapsa cf. muellerae. RNAcentral's name for it is "partial small subunit ribosomal RNA". It matches the Rfam family "Eukaryotic small subunit ribosomal RNA", at positions 582 to 975 of the family's 1831-position model. The record is from RNAcentral. Lineage: Eukaryota; Haptophyta; Isochrysidales; Noelaerhabdaceae.
AUUCCAGCUCCAAUAGCGUAUAUUAAAGUUGUUGCAGUUAAAACGCUCGUAGUCGGAUUUCGGGGCGGGCCGACCGGUCUGCCGAUGGGUAUGCACUGGCCGGCGCGUCCUUCCACCCGGAGACCGCGCCUACUCUUAACUGAGCGGGCGCGGGAGACGGGUCUUUUACUUUGAAAAAAUCAGAGUGUUUCAAGCAGGCAGUCGCUCUUGCAUGGAUUAGCAUGGGAUAAUGAAAUAGGACUCUGGUGCUAUUUUGUUGGUUUCGAACACCGGAGUAAUGAUUAAUAGGGACAGUUGGGGGCAUUAGUAUUUAAUUGUCAGAGGUGAAAUUCUUGGAUUUAUUAAAGACUAACUUAUGCGAAAGCAUUUGCCAAGGAUGUUUUCAUCA